Molecule: ribosomal RNA, 304 nt
Filed under: uncultured bacterium
Lineage: Bacteria
Description: bacterial SSU rRNA
Rfam family: Bacterial small subunit ribosomal RNA
Source: RNAcentral
CGCUGGCGGCGCGCUUAACACAUGCAAGUCGUGCGGUGUGGAAGGCAAGUCUUACGACAAGCCUUCGACACAGCGGCGAACGGGUGAGUAACACGUGAGUAGCUGUCCUAAGGAGGGGGAUAACGCCUGGAAACGGGUGCUAAUACCCCAUAUGCCUCGCAAGAGGUGAAAGUGUACUUGCUACAGCCUUAGGGUGUGCUCGCGGCCUAUCAGCUAGUUGGUGAGGUAACGGCUCACCAAGGCUAAGACGGGUAGCCGGCCUGAGAGGGUGUACGGCCACACUGGAAUUGAGAUACGGUCCAGA